CCUACGGGUGGCAGCAGUGGGGAAUAUUGGGCAAUGGAGGAAACUCUGACCCAGCAACGCCGCGUGAAUGAUGAAGGUCUUCGGAUUGUAAAGUUCUUUUUGAAGGGAAGAAGAAAGUGACGGUACCUUAGGAAUAAGCCUCGGCUAACUACGUGCCAGCAGACGCGGUAAUACGUAGGAGGCAAGCGUUAUCCGGAAUGACUGGGCGUAAAGGGUGCGUAGGUGGUUUGAUAAGUUGGUAGCGUAACUCCGAGGCUCAACCUCGGCACUACUACCAAUACUGUCGGACGUGAGUGCAGGAGGGGCAAGUGGAAUUCAUAGUGUAGCGGUGGAAUGCGUAGAUAUUAGGAAGAACACCAGUGGCGAAGGCGAGUUGCUGGACUGUAACUGACACUGAGGCACGAAAGCGUGGGGAGCAAACAGGAUUAGAUACCCCUGUAGUC
Molecule: ribosomal RNA, 443 nt
Filed under: uncultured bacterium
Lineage: Bacteria
Description: partial 16S ribosomal RNA
Rfam family: Bacterial small subunit ribosomal RNA
Source: RNAcentral